AUUGAACGCUGGCGGCAGGCUUAACACAUGCAAGUCGAGCGGGGGAAGGUAGCUUGCUACCGGACCUAGCGGCGGACGGGUGAGUAAUGCUUAGGAAUCUGCCUAUUAGUGGGGGACAACAUCUCGAAAGGGAUGCUAAUACCGCAUACGUCCUACGGGAGAAAGCGGGGGAUCUUCGGACCUUGCGCCAAUAGAUGAGCCUAAGUCGGAUUAGCUAGUUGGUGGGGUAAAGGCCUACCAAGGCGACGAUCUGUAGCGGGUCUGAGAGGAUGAUCCGCCACACUGGGACUGAGACACGGCCCAGACUCCUACGGGAGGCAGCAGUGGGGAAUAUUGGACAAUGGGGGGAGCCCUGAUCCAGCCAUGCCGCGUGUGUGAAGAAGGCCUUAUGGUUGUAAAGCACUUUAAGCGAGGAGGAGGCUACUCUAGUUAAUACCUAGGGAUAGUGGACGUUACUCGCAGAAUAAGCACCGGCUAACUCUGUGCCAGCCGCCGCGGUAA
Molecule: ribosomal RNA, 501 nt
Filed under: uncultured bacterium
Lineage: Bacteria
Description: partial 16S ribosomal RNA
Rfam family: Bacterial small subunit ribosomal RNA
Source: RNAcentral